AUACGUAGGGGGCGAGCGUUGUCCGGAAUGAUUGGGCGUAAAGGGCGCGUAGGCGGCCUGUUAAGUCUGGAGUGAAAGUCCUGCUUUCAAGGUGGGAAUUGCUUUGGAUACUGCCGCGCUUGAGUGCAGGAGAGGUUAUCGGAAUUCCCGGUGUAGCGGUGAAAUGCGUAGAGAUCGGGAGGAACACCAGUGGCGAAGGCGGGUAACUGGACUGCAACUGACGCUGAGGCGCGAAAGUGUGGGGAGCAAACAGGAUUAGAUACCCUGGUAGUCCACACUGUAAACGAUGAAUGCUAGGUGUAAGAGGUAUCGACCCCUUUUGUGCCGGAGUCAACACAAUAAGCAUUCCGCCUGGGGAGUACGGCCGCAAGGUUGAAACUCAAAGGAAUUGACGGGG
This 397-nucleotide ribosomal RNA is filed under the name uncultured bacterium. Its description in RNAcentral is "partial 16S ribosomal RNA". It matches the Rfam family "Bacterial small subunit ribosomal RNA", at positions 523 to 918 of the family's 1533-position model. The record is from RNAcentral.